AGUGAACGCUGGCGGUAGGCCUAACACAUGCAAGUCGAACGGCAGCACAGUAAGAGCUUGCUCUUACGGGUGGCGAGUGGCGGACGGGUGAGGAAUACAUCGGAAUCUACUUUUUCGUGGGGGAUAACGUAGGGAAACUUACGCUAAUACCGCAUACGACCUACGGGUGAAAGCAGGGGAUCUUCGGACCUUGCGCGAUUGAAUGAGCCGAUGUCGGAUUAGCUAGUUGGCGGGGUAAAGGCCCACCAAGGCGACGAUCCGUAGCUGGUCUGAGAGGAUGAACAGGCAAACUUGAAAUGAGGCACGGGCCAAGCCCCUUCGGGAGGGAGGAGGUGGGAAUUUUUGGCAAAGGGCGCAAGCCUGAUCCAGCCAUACCGCGUGGGUGAAGAAGGCCUUCGGGUUGUAAAGCCCUUUUAUUGGGAAAGAAAAGCAGCAGGUUAAUACCCCGCUGUUCUGACGGUACCCAAAGAAUAAGCACCGGCUAACUUCGU
RNAcentral lists this ribosomal RNA (491 nucleotides) under uncultured bacterium. RNAcentral describes it as "partial 16S ribosomal RNA". It matches the Rfam family "Bacterial small subunit ribosomal RNA", at positions 29 to 506 of the family's 1533-position model. The record is from RNAcentral.